UCCGUAGGUGAACCUGCGGAAGGAUCAUUAAAGAGUAAGGGUGCUCAGCGCCCGACCUCCAACCCUUUGUUGUUAAAACUACCUUGUUGCUUUGGCGGGACCGCUCGGUUCCGAGCCGCUGGGGAUUCGUCCCAGGCGAGUGCCCGCCAGAGUUAAACCAAACUCUUGUUAUUAAACCGGUCGUCUGAGUUAAAAUUUUGAAUAAAUCAAAACUUUCAACAACGGAUCUCUUGGUUCUCGCAUCGAUGAAGAACGCAGCGAAAUGCGAUAAGUAAUGUGAAUUGCAGAAUUCAGUGAAUCAUCGAAUCUUUGAACGCACAUUGCGCCCCUUGGUAUUCCGAGGGGCAUGCCUGUUCGAGCGUCAUUACACCACUCAAGCUAUGCUUGGUAUUGGGUGCCGUCCUUAGUUGGGCGCGCCUUAAAGACCUCGGCGAGGCCACUCCGGCUUUAGGCGUAGUAGAAUUUAUUCGAACGUCUGUCAAAGGAGAGGAACUCUGCCGAUUGAAACCUUUGUUUUUCUAGGUUGACCUCGGAUCAGGUAGGGAUACCCGCUGAACUUAAGCAUAUCAAUAAGCGGAGGA
Molecule: ribosomal RNA, 581 nt
Filed under: Citrus x aurantium (bitter orange)
Lineage: Eukaryota; Viridiplantae; Streptophyta; Magnoliopsida; Sapindales; Rutaceae
Description: eukaryotic LSU rRNA
Rfam family: 5.8S ribosomal RNA (bases 211-364)
Source: RNAcentral